This is a long non-coding RNA of Homo sapiens (human), 12112 nucleotides long. RefSeq lists it as uncharacterized. The transcript has 4 exons. The record is from RefSeq and is a predicted model, not a curated record. NCBI's taxonomy places the organism in Eukaryota, Metazoa, Chordata, Mammalia, Primates, Hominidae.
AGGCGCAUACGCUUGGCGCGGUGCCUCGCAGCUGUCUGCGGGUGGGGCCGCCGCUUUCCCUUGCAGACGAAAGCUGCUGACGGGAAAACCACGCGGGAGGGGAACGUCUAGGCCCUGGCCCUUUCCCCUCAAAGGCCGCGGGAACAUAGGGCUGGGGAAUCCUGGCAGAGGCUCUGGGCAUUAUUACAGAUGGUCGUUGAGGGUCGCAAGCACCAGGCCUGGAGGCCCUCCUCGGCCUGCUACCAGCUGUGACCUUUGGAAAGUGACUUGGCUCGCGCCUCAGUUUUCCGUUUUCUGGAGGACUUGCGGCCUGAGAGUGGCCAAAAAGAAGAGAGUUACUGUCGCAGUCACUGCCUGCCUAGUGGGUAUUUAGGUGCCCAGUCAUGCCUUUGCUCUCGGAGCCAGUGCCUGGUGCAAGCACUGCGGUGGGUUCGUGCCCCAGCUUGGGGGCCACAGGGCUGACUCGGCCGCACUGCCUAUGCGAGCUUGGCCCCAGUUUCCUCGUCAGGGCACAGAACUUCCUUCAAAGGUAAUGAAAAGAGGUGAAAUCUGUGUCACCUUUAGUCCCUGGCUCAUAGUGGGCUCGUAAUCCCGGUUACAGGCUUCAGGCCGCGCACAGGGCAUGUAACUAGAGCUGAUCCUUUCAUAGGAGGGGAACGCAGACACCAUGCCAGCCGGUUGUGCAUGCCCGCCGAACAGAGGUCGAUUUCCACUCUGUCGGCUGGCCAGGGAGAAGGAAUGCAAUUAUUCAUUUAUUACGUACACUCCCAUUGAUCCCUGCCGUAGAAAAAGCUGCUCAGUCUUACUUUGCACAUCUUUCUAGUUUAGUGUUUUAGAAAAGAUAAAGGAAGCAUUUCAUUGAUUAUUUUUUCUAAAUUUACUCUUACAAUUAGUCCUUCUCUAAUGAUCAAGAAGGAAACGUGAUUAAUCUGUAUUUGUGGAGGUUAUUAGUGUAUUGGAAUAACAUGGGAUAAAACAGUAAUAGGAGAGCUGGCAAAACCAGAUACUCUUCAACUGUUAACUGUGUUGAAAGCUUGAAAAGUAUUCAUGUUCUGUGCUGUGUUACACUCUUUUUUUGGUCUCAAAAAUACCCCUACCUCCAUUGUCUCUAGGUGGUCGUUAAAAGCUGUUAUUUUUUGUAGGCUUUUAUUUUGAUCUUAAUUUCACCUUUUCCUACCAGUAACCACUGUCAGAUCCUGUUGCUACAGGAGUUCAGAGAAAAUCCGUUUGUAAUAUUAUUUAGAGGAUAACCACGCCCUGACUUCUACAGAGUGUUGAGUAAAUCAAACUACUGUUCUUUCUGGAAAAAACCUGCAGCUGAAACUGGGAUUAGGGAUAAAGAAACCCAGCUGGAGUUUGCCCCUAAGUGCCAGUGAUAGUUUCUGUUUAUGGUCUGUUUAUCACACAACAUCUUUUGCCAGGAUGUGACUAGCUUUUUGUGAGCCUUUCAUGACCGCACGCAGUAUGUGAUGCCGUACAUCUAAAAUAUGUACAAAUAGCCGAUCCUGACCCCCUUGAUUAACUGUCAGAUGUUUGCUAAAGUCAGUGAUUUGCCCACACAUAGCUCCUUGUUGGAAAAGCAGCCAUUUGAUUGAUGUUAUGUAUGAAUUAUAAUUUACAAAUAAAUUAUUGAAAGCAUAUGAGGUCCAGUCAGAUGAGAUCCACAGGGGGAAAAAUACACAUAUGAGGGAAUCCAGGGUUUGACUUUUCCAUUUAACCAGUUUUUCAUUUUAAUAUUUUAAACAGUUGCAGAGUUUAGCUACUAAUGGUCCAGAUUUUUGAGAUAGGCAUAAACGAGUUAGUUGUCCUUGGUCUUACUAUUUCAGUUCAACAUACAUUAUUUAAUGUAGUAUAAAUAACUACAGCAAUCAUAAUAAACAUUUAUUGAGAUUGUACCAUUUAUAUUUACUAUUUCAAUAUACCAUGUAUAUUCAUGAUUUUAUUUUACAGUUGACCCUUGAACAACAUGGGUUUGAACUACGCGGGUCCACUUAUAGGUGGAUUAUUUUCAAUAAUUUGAAAAAAAAAUUCAAAAAAUUAUUUCUAAUAAUUGAAAUAAUUUUUUCAAUGUGUUAGAAAAAUUUUUGGACAUCUGUGACAAUUUGAAAAAACAGAUGACCCAAGUAGCCUAGAAAUACUGAAAAAUUUAAGAAAAACUUAGGUAUAUCAUGAAUGCAGAACAUAUAUGUAGAUACUAGGCUGUUUUAUCAUUUACUGUAAAAUAUACACAAGUCUAUUAUAAAAAUGUAAAAUUUAUUAAAACAUACAUACAAACAUAGACUACAUGGCACCGUUUGUAGUUGAGAGAAAUAUAAACAACAAAGAUGCAGUAUUAAAUCGUAACUGCAUAAAACUAACUGUAGUACAUACUGUAUUGUAGUAAUUUUGUAGCCACCUCCUGCUGCUAUUGCCAUGAGCUCAAGUGUUGUGCAUAGCCACUUAAAAUGUCAUGUGAUGCUAAUCAUCUCUGCAGGAGCAGUCAAUCUCUCCAGAAAAUUGUGUAUCACAGUAAAAAGUGAUCUUUUGAGGUUCUCAUGUAUUUUUCAUUGUGUUUAGUGCAAUACUUCCAUUGUGUUCAGUGCAAUACCUUGCGUCACACCAUGGGACCCAUGCAAUGCUGGAAGUGCUCCCAAGAAGCAGAGAAAAGUCAUGACAUUAGAAGAAAAAGUUGAAUUGCUUGAUAUGUAUGGAGGUCUGCAGCUGCAGCUGCCCGCCAUUUCAGACACAAUUCAUCUUGUAAACUUGUGGGGUUGAUACAUACCGAUAAAUGUAUUUUCCUUAUGAUUUUUCUUAAUCACAUUUUUUCUCUCACUUUAUUGUAAGAAUACUGUGUGUAAUACAUAUAACAUACAAAAUAUGUUAAUCACCUGUUCAUGUUAUUGGUAAGGCUUCCAAUCAACAGUAGGCUAUUAGUAGUUAAGUUUUGGCAGAGUCAAACGUUCAACUUGGAUUUUCGACUGCACAGUGGGCUGGCACCCCUAACCCCUGCAUCGUUCAAAGGCCAACUGUACUAUUUUGGAUAAUGGGGAAUAAAACAAUGUUUAUUAUGUGCUCUUCCGCCUCUGGAAAUUUAUAGCAUUGUUUUUACUUUUUUUUUUUUUUUUAAGAAAAAAGAAUCUUCCUGAAAAGUUAUGCCUUUUAAUUGUGGUAUACAUCCUGGCUAUUUAUAAGAUUUCAUUGAGAAAUUUUUGUUUCCUCUAAUAUUUUUGUUGUUUUUUGUUUGUUUCAGGUGAAAUAACUAAACCUGACAAUGUUAGUGUGGACUUAAAACAGAUCGUUUGUAUAAUAAAGGGAUCAAUAAUUUUAUUUUAGUGCACAGCAACUAUUUGAGAAUCUUUAAGUAAAAUUGAUAUUGGAUGAUGAGGAUUUUAAAACAAGGGUUUUAGACUUAAGAAAAAGAAAGGUAAUUGGUAUUUAUCCUGUCCUUUAUUAAAAUAAAUUUGAAAAUGUAGGAAAUUAGUAGUAGUGGAAAACGCUGAUGGAUAAAAGUAAGCCAUUAUACUUUGGCCACCGUGGAUUAGUCAAGGAUACAUAUAUGUAUAUGUUGAGUAUCAUUGUUUGAUUUACAAAAUGCUUUUGCUUCAUCUCCUAUAAUCUGUUUCUCCUAUAUCACUUUGGUACAGGUAUUGCUUAAUCCCUUUAAGAAAUGAAGAAAAACCUUCAGAGAGGCUGAAAGGAAUUGCCCAAGGCAUCUGAGUCCAAGUCCUAUAAUGCCUUACACAAUAAUAAGAAUGUCAACAUGUUGGGCGAUGAAUAUUUUUGACUGAGACCAUAGUCAAUGUGGUGCUCUGAGUCAAUACACCCAAAUUACACUAUGCCAUUGACUGCUUUGUUCUGGUUUGUGCCUGUUUCUAAGUAAUAAGGAUUACUGAAUUUAACAAUAGUGGGAACAGAGUGAUGAAUGAAAUGAACAAGUAAAGCAGCCCCAGCUCUCAUGGAGGUUGCAAUCUAGAAAGAGAUACAGAGAGAAAAAUAAUUUCAGUGUGUUAAGUGCUAAAAGAUAAAGAGCACAUCAUCUAGAUUAGGGUAUUAUGUAAAGCUUCCCAUGAGAAAGGAUACCUUAACUAAAACCUGGAGGAUAAGUAAAAGUUAGUUAAGUGAAUGCAGGAGGAGGUGGAUGUUCUACAUAAAGGAAUAGUAAGUGAAAAGACAUGAUGCAAAAGACAGCAUCUGUUGUUCCAGGACUUGGGAAGUACAGUGUUAAUUAUUAUAGAUUUACGUGUGUGUGUUGGGGCAGUGUCUUCAGUGAAGGAGGGAGUGAUGAGAGAGGAUAGAUAAGAAGAGGGAGCCAAAGGACUUUGUGAGUAGAAGUUUUGGGGAGUAGGGUACAAGAAUGCUGGGAGCUUCAAAACUGCAAGUAGGAGGAACAACCAUUAAAAGACUUUUGCAGAAAUCCAGGUAAGAAAUGAUGGUUGCCGAAAAGGCUAGUAACAUUGCACAUGAGAUGGGAAAUGAAAAGGUAAGAUAUUCGAAAAAAUAUAUAGGAGUAGAAUUAAUGGGGGUUUGAUGAUUAGUUGGAUGGAGGGAGAGAAGAGAAGGUGGUUCCUGAAUUUCUGACUUGGCAAUUGGCAGGAUGAUACUACUAUUCACUGAGAGGAGAGACAUAAAACAGGGUACAAAUUUGAAAGGAAGAAUGUACAGGGGAUGGUAACAAAUUGAGUUUUAGACAUGUUGAGUAAGAGGUACCUGUGAAACAUCAAAGAUAUUAAGUAGGCUUUUGGCUUAGUGGGUUUGACAGUGACUUGGGAGAUUUUAGUUGUAGACAGAUAUUGGGAGUCAUUGGGUGUAUAAUACUUGAUUCUGUCUCAUUAGGAAUGGGAGAAUAGAAAUAUCAAGUAUACUUUUAAGUUAUUUUUGAAUAAAGGUAUUAUGUUUAAUUUGCAUGACAAAUCUGUAAGAAAUCUCUAGGACAGGGAAACAUUAUUGCACAUAGAAGUGGCUAGUGGCUUGAAGGGUUGCCUAAUAUGUAAAGACAUCCAAAUUUUUAAAAGGUGGAGUAGGUAGAGGGAAAUUUUAACUUAUUUUUUUAAAUAUGGCAAGAAUUGUCAGAUUGGGUUAAAAAAUCAAGACCCAACUCUAUAUGCUAUCUGCAAGAAACCCACCUCAAAUAUAAAGACAUAGAUAUAUUAAAAGUAAAAGGACGGAGAAAGAUAUGUCAUGCAAAGCACUAAUCAAAAGAAAGAUGAAGUGGCUAUAUUAGACAAAGUAGACUUUAGAAUAAAGAAUGUUACUAGGAAAAAAGAAGGAUAUUACGUAAUGAAUAAGGGAGAAAUUCAUGAAGAAUGCACAACAAGCAUAGAUAUGAAUGGACCUAACACAAAAAAUUGAAAGAACCAAAGGUGAAGUAGACAAACAAUUUUAGUUGGAGAUGUCAGUGCUCCUGCUUCAGUAAUCCAUAGAACUAGUAAUCAGAAAAUCAGUAGGGAUAUAGAAAACCUGAACAGCCCUAUCAACCAAUUUGUUUCAAUUAAGUUUUAGAGAACAUGCCAACAACAGCAGAAUACCAUCCUUUCAAAUGUAUGUGGGAAAUUCACCAAGUUAGAUGAUAUUCUGAGACAUAAAACCUUAACAAAUGUAAAGAAUUGAAAUAAUAUAAAAUAUGUUCUCUAAUCACAACAGAAUUAAACUAGAAAUUGAUAAUAUCUGCAUAAUUCUCAAGUAUUUGGAAAUUAGACAACAUACUUUUAAAUAACUUGUAAGUCAAAGAGGAAGGCAUAAGGAAAUUAAAAACUAUUUUGAAUGGACUGGCGAUAAAAGUAUAACACAUCAAAAUGUAUGAAACGAAGCUAAAGCAGUGCUUAAAAGGUAAUAUAUAGCGUUACAUGCUUAUAUUAUAAAACAAAAAAAGGCCUCCAAUCAAUGAUGUAAGUCUCCACCUUAAAAAGUUUAAAAAUAGAAAAGCAAAUUAAAUCCCAAACAAGCAGAAACUAGAAAAUAAUAAAGAGCAGAAAUGAAAUUUUAAAAAAGAUUCUAAAACCAAAAGCUGGUAUUUGAAAGACAAAAUUAAUAAACCUCUAGCUAGACUUAAAAGAAGGAAAAGUGGAGAAGACAUAAGUUUUAAUUCAAGAAUGAAAAAGGUGCUAUCACUAUAGAUCCUACAGACAUUAAAAUGAUAAGAGAAUAUCAUAAACAAUUUUAUGUCAAUAAAUUUGAUAAAUCAAAUGGACACAUUUCUUGACAGACACUCAAAGCUUACCUAAGAGGUACUAGGCAAUGUAAAAACUUUCCCACAGGAAAAAUCUGAUGGCUUCAUUUGCAAAUCCUACAACAUUUAAGAAAGAAGUAAUACCAUUUUUAUACAGACUUUUUCAGACAUAGAAAAAAGGAGGAAAGCUGGGCAUGGUGGCUCAAGCCUGUAAUUCCAGCCUUUUGAGAGCCCAAGGCAGGAGGAUCACUUGAGCUCUGGAGUUUGAGACCAGCCUGGGCAAUGUAGAGACUUUAGUAGAGACUUCAUCUCUACUAAAAAUAAAAGAAAAAAUAGCCAGGUGUGGUGGUGCAUGCUUGUAGUCCCAGCUACUCAGCAGGCUGAGGCAGGAAGAUCACUUGAGCCCAGGAGAUAGAGGCUGCAGCAAGCUAUGAUUGUACACUGCACUCUGGCCUGGGUGGCAGAGUGAGACCCUAUCCUGGAAAAACAAAAGGAAAAGGAGAGAAAACUUUUCAAUUUUAUGUGGCCUGCAUUACCUGAUAUCAAAACCAGGCAAAGAAUUUAUAAGAAAACUACAAGCCAGUAUCCCUCAUGAAUAUAGACAUAAAAAUGUUAAACAAAAUAUUAGCAAAUAAAAUCUAGUAUAUAAAAAGAGUAGAAAAUACACCAUGACCAAAUGAGCCUUACUGCAAGAAUGCAAAGUUGGUUCAAUAUACAUAAGUCAAUCAAUGCAAUUUACCAUAUCAACGGACUAAAGAAGAAAAAAGGCAUAUGAUUAUCUCAAUAGAUACAGAAAAAGCAUUUUACAAAAAUCUAUCAUUCGUUCCUGAUAAAACUUUCAGAAAACAAGGAAUAGAAGGAAAUUUCCUCCACCUGGUAAAGGGGAUUUAUGAAAACACCUAACAUCAUACUUCAUAAAGAAAGAUGAAAUGCUUUCCCCCUAAGAUCAGAACAAAGCAGGAAUGUUGGCAUUCCCCACUCCUAUUCAAUAUUGUCCAGGAGGUCCUAGCUAGUGUAAUAAGGCAAGAAAAAGAAAUAGGCACACAGAUUGGAAAGGAAGAAAUGAAAAUGCCUUCAUUUGUAGAUACCAUGAUUGUCUAUGAAGAAAAUCCAAAUAACUUACAAAAAGCUACUGGAUCUAGCUGGGUGUGGUGGCUCACGCCUGUAAUCCCAGCACUUUGGGAGUCCAAGGCGGGCAGAUCACGAGGUCAGCAGAUCAAGACCAUCCUGGCUAACAUGGUGAAACCCUGUCUCUAAUAAAAAUACAAAAAAUUAGCUGGGCUUGGUGGUGGGUGCCUGUAGUCCCAGCUACUCCGGAGGCUGAGGCAGGAGAAUGGUGUGAACCCGGGAGGCGGAGCUUGUAGUGAGCCGAGAUUGCGCCACUGCACUCCAGCCUGGGGGACAGAGCGAGACCUUUUUUUUUUUUUUUUGAGACAGUCUACUGGAUCUAGUAGGUGAGUUUAGCAAACCCACAGGAUACAAGGUCAAUAUAUGAAAAUGAACCAUACUUUUUUAUACUAACAGCAAACGUUUUGAACGUGAAAACUUUUUAGAGUAUAUUUACAACAGCAUCCAAUUUACAAAUACCUAGGAAUAAAUCUAACAGAACAUGUAUAAGAUUUGCAUGCCAAAAACUGACAUACAUUGAUGAGAGAAAUCAAGACCUAAACUAGUGGUAAAAUGUACUGAAUUCAUGGAUUAGGAUUUUCAGUACUGUCAAAAUGUCAGUCUUCCCAAAUCGACAGAUAUAAUGCAAUUGCAGUCACAAUCUCAGCAGUCGUCUUUGUGGAAAUUGACAGGCUAUUUCUAAAAUUUAUAUAGAGAAGUAAAGAACCUAGAAUAGCCAAAACAAUUUUGGAAAAGAAAAUGUUGGAUCAUCCACACUACCUGAUUUCAAGACUUGCUAUAAAGUUACAAAAAUCAAGACAAAAUGAUUUUUAAAAUUUUAUGGUUAAAAAUGAGCUCUAGCCUCUUAAUCAAUUUUUAAGUGUAUAGUAUUGUUAACUAUGAGCACAAAGUUGUACAGCAGAUCUCUACAAUUUUUUCAUCUUGUGUGACUGAAACUAUACACCCACUGAGUAGCAACUCCCCUUUCUCCCCUACCUGCAGCUCUUGGCAACCACUAUUCUACUUUCUGCUUCCAUGAGUUUGACUAUUUUAUGUAAUUCAUGUAAGAAGAAUCGUACAAUAUUUGUCCUUCUGUGACUAGCUUAUUUCACUUAGCAUAAUGUCCUCAAGGUUCAUCCAUGUUGUAGCAUGUGACAGGAUUUUCUUCCUUUUUAAGGCUGAGUAAUAUUCCAUUAUAUACACACAUCACCUUUUCUUUAUUCAUCCACCAGUGGACAUUAAGGUUGUUUCUACCUCCUGGCUGUUGGGAACAAUGCUGCAGUUAACAUGGGAAUGCAGAUAUCUUAUUUUAAUUCUUUUAGAUAAAUACCCAGAAAUGAGAUUGCUAGAUCAUAUAGUAGCUCUACUUUUAAUUUUUUAGGAAAAUUAUGCUAUGCUCCAUAGCAGUUGUAUGAUUUUACAUUUCCGCCAACAGGGCACAAGCGCUUUCAUUUCUCUACAUCCCCACGAACACUUGUUAUAUCCUGGGUUUUGUUGUUGUUGUUGUUGCUUUCAAAUAAUAGCCAUCCUAACAGGUGUGAGGUGAUAUCUCGUGGUUUUGAUUUGUAUUUCCAUGAUGAUUAGCAAUGUUGAGCAUCUUUUCAUAUACCUGUUGGCCACUUGUAUGAAUUCUUUGGAAAAAUGUCUAUUCAAGCCUUUUGCCCGUUAAAAUUUUUUUUUAAGUUUUUAUUUUUUGAGACAGGGUCUUGUUCUGUCACCCAGUCUGUUGUGCAGUGGUACAGUCACAGCUCACUGCAGCCUUGACCUCCUGGGCUCAAGUGAUCCUCCCAUGUCAGCCUCCCAAGUAGCUGGGACUACAGGUGCGUGCUCCUGCACCUGACUAAUUUUUGUAUUUUUUUUGUAGAGACUGAGUUUUGCUAUGUUGCCCAGGCUAGUCUGGAACUCCUGGACUCAAGUAAUCCUCCCGCUUUGGCCUCCCAGAAUGCUGGGAUUGUCGGCAUGAACCACUGCACCUGCUUUUGCUCAUUUUAAAAUUAUGUUAUUUUUGUUUGGUUGGUUCUUUUGCUGUUGAAUUAUAGGAGCUCCUUAUAUAUUUUGAAUAUUAACCUCUUAUCAGAUUUUUUGGUUUACAAAUAUUUUCUCCCAUUCUGUAGGUUGCCUUUUCACUGUGUUGAUUAUUUUCCUUGGUGUACAGAGGCUUUUUAGUUUGAUGCAGUACCACUUGUCUACUUUUGCAUUCAUUGCCUGUGUUUUUUGGUGUCAUGUUCAAUAAGUCAUUGCCGUGACCGAUGCCAUGAAGGUUUCCUGUAUUCUAGAAGUUUUAUAGUUUCAGGUAUUACAUUUAGGUCUUUAAUCCAUUUUGAGUUGGUUUUUUCUUUUCUUUUUUUCUUUUUUCUUUUUUUUGAGACAGGGUCUCACUCUGUCAUCCAGGCUAGAAUACAGUGGUGCAGUCAUAGCCCACGGCAACCUCAAACUCCCUUGCUCAUAUUUAUUUUUUUUUUGUAGAGAUGGAGUCUUGCUAUAUUGCCCAAGCUGGUGAGUUGAUUUUUGUAUGUAGUACAAGAUAAGCGUCCAGUUUUAUUCUUCUGCAUGUGACUAUCCACUUUUCCCAAUACCAUUUGUUAAAGAGACUAUCCUUUCCCCAUUGUUUAUUCUUGUCACUCUUUUUAAAUAUCAGUUGACUAUAUGUUCAGUUGAUGAAGGGAUAGACAUAUAGGUCCAUGGAACAGCACAGACUCCAGAAGUAGACCCACACAAACAUGGUCAAUUGAUAUUUUUGACUAAGGUGUCAAUUAACUCAUUGGAGACAGGAUAGUCUUCACACAGAAUGGUGCUGGAGGAAUUAGGUGUCCAUAUUUUAAAAAAAAAUAAUCUUGACACAUACCUUGUACCUCUAUAAAAAUUAAGUAAAAAUGUAUCAUAGACCAAAAUGUAAAACCUAAAACUAUAACACUGCUAGAACUUCCUGGCCCGUUGUGCUGGCCACAUGUGGCUAUUUAAAUUUAAACUAAUUAAAACAAAAUAAAAUUAAAAAAUUCAGCUCCUCAGUUGUUGCAGCAACAUAUCAAGUUCUCAGAAGUCACAUCUGGCUAGCUAUACCCAGUGUAUUGGUGAGCACAGAUUAUAGAACAUUUCUGCCAUAACAGAAAGUUAUAUUGUACAAUGCUGUUCUAGAAGAAAACAGGAGAAAAUCUUUGGAAUCUUAGGCAAAGAUUUCUUAGGAGGCAAUAUGAACCACAGGAGCAAAAUAAUUGAUAAAUUGGGUUUCAUCAAAAUUAAAUCCUUCGGUCUUCAAAAAGCUCUGCUGGCCAGGUGUGGUGGCUCAUACCUGUAAUCCCAGCACUUUGGGAGGCCAAGUUGGGAGGAUUGUUUGAGCCCAAGAGUUUGAGAUCAGUCUGGGCAACACAGGGAGACUCAUCUAAAAACAAAACAAAAAACAAAAACAAACGAACAAACAAAAACAACCUUUGCUAAGAAAAUGACAAGCCACAGACGAGGAAAAAAAAUUGCAAAACAUAUAUUUAGUACAGAACUGGCAACCAGAAUAUAAAAAGCAUAAGUUUCAAAAUUUAAAAUUUAAUAACAUAAUCAUAGUCUGAGAAGUCCUAAACAUUUUAAUAACAAAAGAAAGUAAAAAGUGGGCAAAAAAAUUUGUAUAGACACUUCAUCAAAGAAAUAUGGAUGGCAUAUUAUUUAAUUUUUCUAAUCUUUUUUCUUUUUUUGGCUCUAUUACGUUAGUAACUUACAACUUUUCUAACCUUAUACAGGUAUGCAUCCAUUUUUUAAAAAUCAGUAAAGGUUAUCUGGUUGAGAAGUUUAUGAUCUACUUUUAUUUUCUUUGUUCCUCACUGGAUCUUUUAAAGUGCAAAUCCUAGCAAAUGAAACCUGAGGAAGAAAGUCUCUAAUCGGGGGUGCGUGUGUGUGUGUGUGUGUGUGUGUGUCUAAAAAAGCAAACAUCUUUUUAUAGUUGUUUCUGGUUGUCCAAGAAUAGCAAUAGUGAAUGUAAAAGGAAGCAACAGUCUCUUGGGCAAUCAUUUAUAGCUUUAUCAGUGUAUACGAUCAUGUUAAUGAACUGAUUUGUUCAGCCUGUUUGGACCAUGAGAAAAUGUGACCUUCCUAAUUGUAUUCAAAUCCGUCAGAGUUGAAAAGAAAUAUGUGAUUUGUUUUUCUCGUCUUUAACCUGUCUAGAUUUUGCCUAAGCAAAUGUGGUAGGCAGAAUAGCGGCCCCCUUAAAGAUGUUCAUGUCCUAAUCCCCAAACCCUGUGAAUAUGUUGCCUUACAUGGCAAAAGGGAGAUUGCAGAUGUGAUUACUGAUUUUGAGAUGGGGAGAUUUCCUGGAUUAUGCAGGUUGGACCAAUGGAAUCACAAGUGUCCUAAUAAAUGAAGGAGGAAGGCAGGAGAGUCAGAGUCAGAAUGAUGCAAUGUGUAAACGGCUCAACUGGCCAUUCCUCUCUUUGAAGAUGGGGUCAGGCCACAAGCCAAGGAACGGAGGCAGCCUCUUGAACCUGAAAAAGGCAAGAAAAUGGAUUCUCCCCUAGUGCCUUCAGAAGGAACGUGGACAAGCAGAACUGUUCAAAAGAAGAGGCUGUUCUAAGAAAGACUACCGAGUAAUCAAUCACCUCCUCAGAGAAAGUCUGCUCAGGAAACUCUCCUCCCACCAGCCCCUGCACUUGGUUCCUUGCGUUGCCUCUGGCUGGAAGCUGUUGUCCCCAACUUCAGAAAGUGUCUGCAGAUUUCACAGGCUCUCUCUUGGGUCAAGGGACCAGCUCUGUGAACACGGCAAGUAACAACAGAGAGAAAACGUGAGGAGAAAAGAGAGACCGGGAUUUUGAAAUCCUGUUUCCUGAAUGCCAUCUCACCAGGCACACGAAAGAAUAAAAUUAAGGAAUCAAGAGCCAA